RNAcentral lists this small nucleolar RNA (87 nucleotides) under Blastobotrys adeninivorans. Lineage: Eukaryota; Fungi; Ascomycota; Dipodascomycetes; Dipodascales; Trichomonascaceae. The record is from RNAcentral.
GCUGGAGGAGGAACCCAGAUGACGAGUCGUAUGCGAGCUUCUCGAUGCCGACACUAUAUUUUUUUUACCAUUCAUGCAUUUCUGACA